Diuraphis noxia (Russian wheat aphid) is the source of this 494-nucleotide long non-coding RNA. RefSeq lists it as uncharacterized. The record is from RefSeq and is a predicted model, not a curated record. Lineage: Eukaryota; Metazoa; Arthropoda; Insecta; Hemiptera; Aphididae.
UUGUCCUAUGUCGAAGUCGGGUGAAAAUUAUGUCAAACAAUGUUAUCUUACUUAUCUAAGUUUUAAGUACCUAUUUGCCUAUUAUAUCUGUUGUGAGUAAGUUGUGACCAGAAAAAAAAAAUGAUAUAUGAUACACAAAAAAAUAAACAAGUAUAGGUACUUACUACUUGUUGUAUGACCCAAUCGUACUAUUAUUUUCCAUCACUUUGGUUUUUACAUUUUAAUUUUUGUACCUACCUAAAUAUUAUUCGAAAUUUGUAAGACGUCCUUGUAAUGUAUUAUACUACCGUGGGUAGCCUGCAGCUCAUUGAACAAUAUUAUGGUAUUUUGCAAGUUCCAUUGUCUAGGCUGGUCACACUUGAUUGCAACUCUGAAAGAUGUUUGUAGCAAUUUUAAUACCAUGCUGCCCAUGUUAAUAUUUAUCGUCUAGUCCAAUAUUAUCUAAAUGAACUCUAGCUUUUGGAUUUCAUAKUCUGCAUUAUAACAAAAUAUUC